Molecule: ribosomal RNA, 445 nt
Filed under: uncultured bacterium
Lineage: Bacteria
Description: bacterial SSU rRNA
Rfam family: Bacterial small subunit ribosomal RNA
Source: RNAcentral
AACGAACGCUGGCGGCAGGCCUAACACAUGCAAGUCGAACGAGAAGCAGUCCUUCGGGAUUGUGGAAAGUGGCAGACGGGUGAGUAACGCGUGGGAAUCUACCCAGUGGUACGGAAUAACUCAGGGAAACUUGGGCUAAUACCGUAUGUGCCCGCAAGGGGAAAGAUUUAUCGCCAUUGGAUGAGCCCGCGUCUGAUUAGCUUGUUGGUGGGGUAACGGCCCACCAAGGCGACGAUCAGUAGCUGGUCUGAGAGGAUGAUCAGCCACACUGGGACUGAGACACGGCCCAGACUCCUACGGGAGGCAGCAGUGGGGAAUAUUGGACAAUGGGCGCAAGCCUGAUCCAGCCAUGCCGCGUGAGUGAUGAAGGCCCUAGGGUUGUAAAGCUCUUUCGCACGCGAAGAUAAUGACGGUAGCGUGACAAGAAGCCCCGGCUAACUUCGUG